AGCGAACGCUGGCGGCAGGCUUAACACAUGCAAGUCGAGCGGGCACUUUCGGGUGUCAGCGGCGGACGGGUGAGUAACGCGUGGGAACGUGCCCUCUGGUUCGGAAUAACUCAGGGAAACUUGAGCUAAUACCGGAUACGCCCUUUUGGGGAAAGGCUUGCUGCCGGAGGAUCGGCCCGCGUCUGAUUAGCUAGUUGGUGAGGUAACGGCUCACCAAGGCGACGAUCAGUAGCUGGUCUGAGAGGAUGAUCAGCCACACUGGGACUGAGACACGGCCCAGACUCCUACGGGAGGCAGCAGUGGGGAAUAUUGGACAAUGGGCGCAAGCCUGAUCCAGCCAUGCCGCGUGAGUGAUGAAGGCCUUAGGGUUGUAAAGCUCUUUUAUCCGGGGCGAUAAUGACGGUACCGGAGGAAUAAGCCCCGGCUAACUUCGUG
Molecule: ribosomal RNA, 435 nt
Filed under: uncultured bacterium
Lineage: Bacteria
Description: partial 16S ribosomal RNA
Rfam family: Bacterial small subunit ribosomal RNA
Source: RNAcentral